UACGUAGGGGGCAAGCGUUGUCCGGAAUUAUUGGGCGUAAAGCGCGUGUAGGCGGCCAGGUAGGUCGGUUGUGAAAAUUGGAGGCUCAACCUCCAGACGUCGAUGGAAACCAUCUAGCUAGAGUCCGGAAGAGGAGAGUGGAAUUCCUGGUGUAGCGGUGAAAUGCGCAGAUAUCAGGAAGAACACCCGUGGCGAAGGCGGCUCUCUGGUACGUGACUGACGCUGAGACGCGAAAGCGUGGGGAGCGAACAGG
Molecule: ribosomal RNA, 253 nt
Filed under: uncultured bacterium
Lineage: Bacteria
Description: partial 16S ribosomal RNA
Rfam family: Bacterial small subunit ribosomal RNA
Source: RNAcentral